This 253-nucleotide ribosomal RNA is filed under the name uncultured bacterium. Its description in RNAcentral is "partial 16S ribosomal RNA". It matches the Rfam family "Bacterial small subunit ribosomal RNA", at positions 524 to 776 of the family's 1533-position model. The record is from RNAcentral.
UACGGGGGGUGCGAGCGUUGUCCGGAAUCACUGGGCGUAAAGGGCGCGUAGGUGGUUUGAUAAGGGUGUGGUGAAAGUCCGGGGCUCAACCCCGGAUCUGCCGUGCCGACUGUCAAACUCGAGGGCUGUAGAGGCAGACGGAAUUCCGGGUGUAGCGGUGGAAUGCGUAGAGAUCCGGAGGAAGACCGGUGGCGAAGGCGGAUCUCUGGACAGUUCCUGACGCUGAGGCGCGAAGGCCAGGGGAGCAAACGGG